Molecule: ribosomal RNA, 396 nt
Filed under: uncultured Polaromonas sp.
Lineage: Bacteria; Pseudomonadati; Pseudomonadota; Betaproteobacteria; Burkholderiales; Comamonadaceae
Description: bacterial SSU rRNA
Rfam family: Bacterial small subunit ribosomal RNA
Source: RNAcentral
GUACGGAAUUCGCCAGAGAUGGCUUAGUGCUCGAAAGAGAACCGUAACACAGGUGCUGCAUGGCUGUCGUCAGCUCGUGUCGUGAGGAUGUUGGGUUAAGUCCCGCAACGAGCGCAACCCUUGUCAUUAGUUGCUACAUUUAGUUGGGCACUCUAAUGAGACUGCCGGUGACGAAACCGGAGGAAGGUGGGGAUGACGUCAAGUCCUCAUGGCCCUUAUAGGUAGGGCUACACACGUCAUACAAUGGAUGGUACAAAGGGUCGCCAACCCGCGAGGGGGAGCCAAUCCCAUAAAACCAUUCGUAGUCCGGAUCGCAGUCUGCAACUCGACUGCGUGAAGUCGGAAUCGCUAGUAAUCGUGGAUCAGAAUGUCACGGUGAAUACGUUCCCGGGUCUU